AGUUAGCUCAGUUGGUAGAGCGUUAGGCUUUUAACCUAAUGGUCUGGGGUUCGAGCCCC
This 59-nucleotide transfer RNA is filed under the name Aplanochytrium sp. PBS07. It matches the Rfam family "tRNA", at positions 8 to 61 of the family's 71-position model. From Rfam's summary of the family: Transfer RNA (tRNA) molecules are approximately 80 nucleotides in length. Their secondary structure includes four short double-helical elements and three loops (D, anti-codon, and T loops). The record is from RNAcentral. Lineage: Eukaryota; Bigyra; Thraustochytrida; Thraustochytriidae.